RNAcentral lists this non-coding RNA (30 nucleotides) under Rattus norvegicus (Norway rat). Lineage: Eukaryota; Metazoa; Chordata; Mammalia; Rodentia; Muridae. The record is from RNAcentral.
UAACAAAAGAUUUCCUCUGUGGGGAUUGAC